RNAcentral lists this ribosomal RNA (294 nucleotides) under uncultured bacterium. RNAcentral's name for it is "partial 16S ribosomal RNA". It matches the Rfam family "Bacterial small subunit ribosomal RNA", at positions 775 to 1067 of the family's 1533-position model. The record is from RNAcentral.
GGAUUAGAUACCCUGGUAGUCCACGCAGUAAACUAUGAGUGCUAGGUAUCAGGAUGAUUGUAUCUUGGUGUCGUAGCUAACGCGUUAAGCACUCCGCCUGAGUAGUACGGCCGCAAGGUUAAAACUCAAAGGAAUUGACGGGGACCCGCACAAGCGGUGGAACAUGUGGUUUAAUUCGAUGCUACGCGAAAAACCUUACCAGGUCUUGACAUGUUAGUCGUAUGUUUAGGAAACUAAAUAGUCAGUUAGGCUGGACUAUCACAGGUGUUGCAUGGCUGUCGUCAGCUCGUGCCG